CCGCAGGCUCCAGCGUGGGGGGGCCUGGCGUGGCCUCUGCCAUUCCUGCAGUGCUGCCAGAGUACACUGGGAACGUUUGAGGCCUCUCCCGGCGCUUCCCGGGAGUGGUCAUGGAACCCCCGGACACCC
Lepidothrix coronata (blue-crowned manakin) is the source of this 129-nucleotide small nucleolar RNA. The record is from Ensembl. Lineage: Eukaryota; Metazoa; Chordata; Aves; Passeriformes; Pipridae.